UACGGGGGGAGCAAGCGUUGUUCGGAUUUACUGGGCGUAAAGGGCGCGUAGGCGGCCAGCACAAGUCAGUUGUGAAAUCUCCGAGCUUAACUCGGAACGGUCAACUGAUACUGUGCGGCUAGAGUGCGGAAGGGGCAACUGGAAUUCUCGGUGUAGCGGUGAAAUGCGUAGAUAUCGAGAGGAACACCUGCGGCGAAGGCGGGUUGCUGGGCUGAUACUGACGCUGAGGCGCGGAAAGCCAGGGGAGCGAACGGG
Molecule: ribosomal RNA, 255 nt
Filed under: uncultured bacterium
Lineage: Bacteria
Description: partial 16S ribosomal RNA
Rfam family: Bacterial small subunit ribosomal RNA
Source: RNAcentral